GGAGCGAAAUACUACCGGCUAAUAUCCGGUGGGGCUGACGGUACCUGAGGAAUAAGCACCGGCUAACUUCGUGCCAGCAGCCGCGGUAAUACGAAGGGUGCAAGCGUUAAUCGGAAUUACUGGGCGUAAAGCGUGCGUAGGCGGUGAUUUAAGUCUGCUGUGAAAUCCCCGGGCUCAACCUGGGAAUGGCAGUGGAUACUGGAUCGCUAGAGUGUGAUAGAGGAUGGUGGAAUUCCCGGUGUAGCGGUGAAAUGCGUAGAGAUCGGGAGGAACAUCAGUGGCGAAGGCGGCCAUCUGGAUCAACACUGACGCUGAGGCACGAAAGCGUGGGGAGCAAACAGGAUUAGAUACCCUGGUAGUCCACGCCCUAAACGAUGCGAACUGGAUGUUGGUCUCAACUCGGAGAUCAGUGUC
Molecule: ribosomal RNA, 414 nt
Filed under: Dyella sp.
Lineage: Bacteria; Pseudomonadati; Pseudomonadota; Gammaproteobacteria; Lysobacterales; Rhodanobacteraceae
Description: bacterial SSU rRNA
Rfam family: Bacterial small subunit ribosomal RNA
Source: RNAcentral